Molecule: long non-coding RNA, 1352 nt
Organism: Homo sapiens (human)
Lineage: Eukaryota; Metazoa; Chordata; Mammalia; Primates; Hominidae
Exons: 3
Source: RefSeq, a predicted model, not a curated record
AGAGCCCUGGGAACUGUGGACGUCUGCAUCUGCUCACAGCCCCCAGGUCCCAGCAGCCUUAUCGGAGCCCUUGGCUGGGAGCCUGGAGACCUGAGGGUGGCUGAGCCGGCACCAUGCUUCUACCCCACCCUUAGGCAGCUACCCAGGCCUCUCCGGACCUCAGUUCUGCAUCUUCAAAAUGGGGUCGCCCAGGUAGACAUGAGGACUGACGGGCAGGCGUGGGACACUUGGAGCUCAGGAGGGCAGGCACCGAAAACACACACCCUCUGUGCUGUGACUGGAACCCCCCAUGCAGCCUGCCGACUCAUUUCCACUCUGUACAACUCUACUGAGAAGCUCCUCUAAAUGUUCCCGAUUCCAACCCAGAAAUUCUGCUCCUGGCAAAUCAAACACAAGGGAAAAAUGCAGAGGAGGGUAUUUGCUGUAACAGGAUGGAGAACGGUGACUACCUGCAGACAGCACAGAUGCUGCUCCCUGGACACCGAGUGCACGAGCCCCUUGGAACUUCCCUUUGGCUGUCUUGGAUACAACAUAUACACACCACACUCACACACACAAACACCACACACACGAUACAUGCAGACACAACACACACCACACUCACACGUAGAAGACACACCACAUACAACAAAACACACACACUGCCCUCACAUACAAACACACCACACCACACAUGCCAACACACACUGUGUCCAGGCAUGCAAGCAUGCUACACACCACACCACACACACACACACACACACACACACUCGAACUUACAGCUACAGAAGUUAAACAUCACAUUCCACUUCAGUCCAUUCCAAAGAGCGCUGGUUGUCACCACAACAGUGACCUCCUGGCCCACCAUGGAUGGACAGCCACAUGGAAUCUGAGCACCACCGCCCCCGUGGUCCGGCCCCUGCCUGCCUCUGAGAGUUUCUCUCCUGCGCUGCUCUCUCACUCACUUUGAUGCAGACACACUGGCUCCCUUUCUGUUCCAGGCACGUGCCUGUCCCAGGUCCUUUGCUUUGCCCCUCGCCAGCUGGUGUCCUCUUCCUAGUUACCCAAGGGAGCUGCUUUGUCCUCCUUUGAAGGUGCCUGUUUAGAUUUCACCUGCCAGGGAACUCGGCAUAAUUUUGCCAUCACCAAUGAAUUAGUUUAAAAACGUCUGCUGCUGCUGCCGCAAACCCCUCUACAGCUGUUUUUGAGGUGACCCCAGUAAGGAGGCCCCCCAGACGGCUGAGGAUCCCAAGGAAGGCUUUUGUGGGAACGGCUCAGAUGACCAUGGGCAGCAGCCCCUCACCACUCCUGGAACUGCAUCCUCACCUGCCUGUAACCCUCCUCCCACGAAGCCGGAGCCACCCCUGGAUCCU